AACGAACGCCGGCGGCAUGCCUAACACAUGCAAGUCGAACGAGACCUUCGGGUCUAGUGGCGCACGGGUGCGUAACGCGUGGGAACCUGCCCUUAGGUUCGGAAUAACUCCCCGAAAGGGGUGCUAAUACCGGAUAAUGUCUUCGGACCAAAGAUUUAUCGCCUUUGGAUGGGCCCGCGUUGGAUUAGCUAGUUGGUAGGGUAAAAGCCUACCAAGGCGACGAUCCAUAGCUGGUCUGAGAGGAUGAUCAGCCACACUGGGACUGAGACACGGCCCAGACUCCUACGGGAGGCAGCAGUGGGGAAUAUUGGACAAUGGGCGAAAGCCUGAUCCAGCAAUGCCGCGUGAGUGAUGAAGGCCUUAGGGUUGUAAAGCUCUUUUACCCGGGAUGAUAAUGACAGUACCGGGAGAAUAAGCUCCGGCUAACUCCGU
RNAcentral lists this ribosomal RNA (432 nucleotides) under uncultured bacterium. RNAcentral describes it as "partial 16S ribosomal RNA". It matches the Rfam family "Bacterial small subunit ribosomal RNA", at positions 29 to 506 of the family's 1533-position model. The record is from RNAcentral.